This is a long non-coding RNA of Daphnia pulex (common water flea), 1281 nucleotides long. RefSeq lists it as uncharacterized. NCBI's taxonomy places the organism in Eukaryota, Metazoa, Arthropoda, Branchiopoda, Diplostraca, Daphniidae. The transcript has 9 exons. The record is from RefSeq and is a predicted model, not a curated record.
CAAUUCAAGAGAAUCCAAAUUAGUUUGAGGCUUGCAGCGAAUCCAGGCACAAAUUUCUUCACCUAGUCUUUCAUCGGGAACCCCAACCACCUUGAUCCACACCACACAAUCAAAAAAUCUCUUCAAUUCAAGAGAAUCCAAAUUAGUUUGAGGCUUGCAGCGAAUCCAGGCACAAAUUUCUUCACCUAGUCUUUCAUCGGGAACCCCAACCACCUUGAUCCACACCACACAAUCAAAAGGUUUACUGCUUCCGGAUUGUGUUUUCAUAUGGUUUCCUUUAUCACUGAGUUGAAGACCGCCAAAAAAAAUGGUAAAGAACUUCCAACGCUAAAAUCACACAGACCAAACUCCAUCUGAUGACCGAUUAUUUGUAGCGAAUCCUCAAGUUCAAGACCAAUAAAUCUCGCGAACGUCACUCGAUUGCACUGGGCAUGGGAACCGGGAUCCCAUAAAGAUCUUUCAUUCGUUUCUUGCAAAUGGUAUACCAAAUGCUAGUUAAUGAAUUAAUGAAAGUAGUUCCAUGGCACAUGUACUUAAAGCCAGUACGUCUUAUCAGUCGUAAUUCGUUAUCAUGGAGGAUCGUUAGACUGGUGUGUCAUGUCAAGCAGCCCCAUCAAUUGGAAAAGCUGCUUGCAUGACAAAAUUUAACAAGGUCCUUUGUCAAGAGCAAUACAAUUUAGAGGCAAUCAUGCGUAAAGAGGUUUUGAAACAGUGGCCACUUUUUGUUCGAGUUUUUUCUCGUCACUCACACGUACUCGAGAAGUCCUUGAACAUCGGUAUGUUCAGUGUGAUCCUACAAUUGGCGUCGAAACGGAUAAUAUUCCCAACAUCUAAUCCAGACAUGGUAGUUGUUAUUUAUUUGCCAUGAUCCUGACCACCGAAAAGACGCCGCCGCUGCUCAAGAAAGAGGAAGUCAGUGUUGAGUCCACAAAUCGCACUUGCUUUGACAGCUUCCAAUCGUUAAACGUGUCUCCAUUGGGAAGAAACCACGAUCACGGUACCUACCUUACCCCCGGUUUUCGCCUUUUUCUCUUUUUUCUUUCUAUUCUUCUCUUUGUUGAAAAAAGAGGUAAAGGAAGAGAGAAUGGAUAAUCUGUAUAUUUGAAUAAAAUAAUCAACCGGUAUCAUUUCCUAUGAAUUUGGUUGAAGGUCACGAGAAACAUUACGUUAAACUGGCAUGCGGUGGUGUAGAGGUUGGGUGAGAAUUACACGUGUUUCAUCAUUAUCAAGCAGACCCAUCCCCAGCAACGUCUACCUAAAGAAGGAAAGGCCAGUUUGCAU